Molecule: ribosomal RNA, 117 nt
Filed under: Acidobacteriota bacterium
Lineage: Bacteria; Pseudomonadati; Acidobacteriota
Source: RNAcentral
UCCGGUGACUCUAGCGGAGGGGAAACACCCGUUCCCAUCCCGAACACGGCAGUUAAGCCCUCCAGCGCCGAUGGUACUGCAUUGGCAACGAUGUGGGAGAGUAGGUCGUCGCCAGGA